RNAcentral lists this ribosomal RNA (934 nucleotides) under uncultured bacterium. Its description in RNAcentral is "bacterial SSU rRNA". It matches the Rfam family "Bacterial small subunit ribosomal RNA", at positions 8 to 936 of the family's 1533-position model. The record is from RNAcentral.
AGAGUUUGAUCCUGGCUCAGGAUGAACGCUGGCGGUGUGCCUAAGGUAUGCAAGUCGAGCGGGGUGAACCCUUGUGGUUUACCCAGCGGCGGACGGGUGAGUAACGCGUAGAUAACCUGCCUCGAAGUUGGACAUAGCUCCACGAAAGUGGGGGUAAUUUCCAAUGGUACCAGUUUACUAAUUGUUUACUGGGUAAAGAUUUAUCGCUUCGAGAUGGGUCUGCGUCCUAUCAGCUUGUUGGUGGGGUAAUAGCCUACCAAGGCUAAGACGGGUAGCUGGUCUGAGAGGAUGAUCAGCCACAAUGGCACUGAGAUACGGGCCAUACUCCUACGGGAGGCAGCAAUUAGGAAUCUUGCACAAUGGGGGAAACCCUGAUGCAGCGACACCGCGUGAAGGAUGAAGGUCUUCGGAUUGUAAACUUCUUUUGUAGUCUAACAAGUUCUGAGUGGUCUACGAAUAAGCACCUGCUAACUGCGUGCCAGAAGCAUCGGUGAUGCGUGGGGUGCGAGCGUUAUCCGGAUUUAUUGGGCGUAAAGAGAUGCGUAGGUGUUUUGAUGUGUCCAUUGUUAAAUGCUCCGGCUUAACUGGAGAUAUGCGAUGGAAACUGUCAAAAUUGAGGCAGAGAGAGGGAAGUGGAAUUCCCGGUGGAGCGGUGAAAUGUGUUGAUAUCGGGAGGAAUACCAGUGGCGAAGGCGACUUCCUGGCUCUGUUCUGACACUAAGGCUCGAAAGCGUGGGUAGCAAAACGGAUUANAUACCCGUGUAGUCCACGCCGUAAACGUUCCUCACUAGAUGUUGGGUGAGCUNACUUAUGGAACUUGUUUCUANUUGUUAGUGANCUCAGUGUCGUAGCAAACGCGUUAAGUGGGGCGCCUGGGAAGUACGGNCGCANGGCUAAACUCNANGAAUUGGCNGGGNNCCGCACNAGCGGUGGA